UUAGGACCACUGCCGCCGACCGCGGCGCGCG
Molecule: small RNA, 31 nt
Filed under: Bombyx mori (domestic silkworm)
Lineage: Eukaryota; Metazoa; Arthropoda; Insecta; Lepidoptera; Bombycidae
Description: ovarian small RNA-9415
Source: RNAcentral